UCGCCCCCGAGGCACCGCUUGCGACACCGGGGCAGAUCCGGCUGGGCACAUCCUGUCCUCUCCCAGCAGAGCUGCAGGAGCCAGCAGCGUCUGUCUGUCUGUCUGUCCGUGCGGGGCUCGGUGUGCUCGGACAGCCAUGGGCACGGCACUCGUGGCCAUCCUGGGGCUGGCAGCGCUGCUGCCCGCGGACGCGCUGCCCUGCGGAGCGCAGCGCCCGGACAGCUCCACGGCAGCCAAGCUGCCGGGGACCUGGCUGUACGUGGCAGGGGCUGCCCAGUUCCCCCAGCACCGCGUGGAGAUGCUGCUCAUCGACCACGCCUUGCUGCGCUUGGAGCCCGGGCCCGGCGGGCAGGAGCUGCUCAUCAGCCACUACGUGGCCGUGGGGGACCAAUGUUUUACCCACAACCUGACCUACCUGGAAGUCACCGCCGGUAACGCCACGCUGGUGAAGCACGCCAGGAACCUGAGCAUCAGCACAGCAGACCGGGAGGAAUUCGAGCAGCACGCUGAGUGCCUGGGGCUGAGGGCGGAGCAGAUCGUGUACGCGCCGUGGAAAACGGAGGUGUGUCAAGUGAAAGCAGCUGAAGGCAGCAAGAGCCCACAGCCAGAGCCCGUGGAUGCAGCCACAGCAUCUCCUGCUCCAGGCACCCCCUGGCCUGGGAGUGCAGGGAACUGACCCCACGCAGGGCAAUAAACUUUUCCUUCAAAUUAGAUACA
This 717-nucleotide long non-coding RNA is filed under the name Serinus canaria (Common canary). RNAcentral describes it as "lncRNA (ENSSCAG00000006559.1)". The record is from RNAcentral. Lineage: Eukaryota; Metazoa; Chordata; Aves; Passeriformes; Fringillidae.